CAUGAACGCUAGCUACAGGCUUAACACAUGCCAGUCGAGGGGCAGCAUGAUUGAAGCUUGCUUCAAUCGAUGGCGACCGGCGCACGGGUGAGUAACACGUAUCCAACCUGCCGAUAACUCGGGGAUAGCCUUUCGAAAGAAAGAUUAAUACCCGAUAGUAUAGUAUUUCCGCAUGGUUUCACUAUUAAAGAACUUCGGUUAUCGAUGGGGAUGCGUUCCAUUAGAUAGUUGGCGGGGUAACGGCCCACCAAGUCAACGAUGGAUAGGGGUUCUGAGAGGAAGGUCCCCCACAUUGGAACUGAGACACGGUCCAAACUCCUACGGGAGGCAGCAGUGAGGAAUAUUGGUCAAUGGACGAGAGUCUGAACCAGCCAAGUAGCGUGAAGGAGGACUGCCCUAUGGGUUGUAAACUUCUUUUAUACGGGAAUAAAGUGGAGUAUGCAUACUCCUUUGUAUGUACCGUAUGAAUAAGGAUCGGCUAACUCCGUG
This 489-nucleotide ribosomal RNA is filed under the name uncultured bacterium. RNAcentral's name for it is "partial 16S ribosomal RNA". It matches the Rfam family "Bacterial small subunit ribosomal RNA", at positions 29 to 507 of the family's 1533-position model. The record is from RNAcentral.